Molecule: small RNA, 1574 nt
Filed under: Pongo abelii (Sumatran orangutan)
Lineage: Eukaryota; Metazoa; Chordata; Mammalia; Primates; Hominidae
Description: processed transcript
Source: RNAcentral
CAACUCUUGUAAUUUAACCCCUUCAGGUGAGCAGGCUGAUUGAUGAAUUGAAGACAGCUAUCAAAAGCAACAGAGGUCAUCUCUGUAAACUUGGCCCCCAAUUACAGGCUGAGCAGGAGCAAUUCUCCUCUUAUGUCUACCAACACAUUAAAAGCCUUCCAGCAAACAUGCUUGUCCCAGGAGGCCUGCAGCUCAAGGUAUUUGAAAAUGGUAAAAACACUGGAGAGAUCUCUGUUGGUAUCAGUAAAAAAGAUUUGGGAUCUGAUAGCCCAAUUCAAACUGACCAUAUGAUGGAAAGAUUACUUCUCAAGAUUCAUCAAAGGCUUCAAGGUUCUUCCAUCAACCCACCAGGCCUCAAUUUUUCUUCAAUGCGGCUUUUUGAUGAGAAUGGCCAAGAAAUUAAGAAUCCACUUUCGCUGAAGAAUGAGCAAAAAAUUUGGGUCUCUUAUGGUAGACCAUACAGAUCUCCACUAAAUCUUGCUUUGGGUUUGACCUUUGACCGAGUGAGUGCAUUUGCCAGAGGUGACAUCAUGGUUGCAUAUAAGACCUUUUUGGAUCCUAAUGCUGUUCUGCUACCUGGAUGUGUUGGGAAGUUUGUGAGGGAUUUCCAAUUAAUUUCAACUGUACCAGUCAACAGAUACCUGACCAGUUUGAAAAGGUGGACUUGGAGAACCAUUUUCUACAGAACAAGGUAGAUCCCAAUAUUGUCCUUCAUGCCUCUGUUUCCAUUGGAAAGUGGAGUUUCUCAGGCAGUGAAGCAAGCAGCAGGAGUCAAACAGCACCAUCGAUCCUGUGGCCUGUAGCCAGUGUGUGGCUGAUCACCAAGACUGGAAUGAUCCUGAGCCGAGCGAUAACUCAGGGCUGCCUGGCUAUUGGUCAUCCUAUCAGAGUCAAGGCUGCUGAGGGAACAUCACUAGAAGGAUAUAAAUUAAUCCUACAGAAAAGACAUAUUGGAGACGAAUCUCAGAAGUGGGUGUUUGGAACUGAUGGUUGCAUUUAUUCAAAGGCUUAUCCUCAGUUUGUUCUGACCUACCUAGAGGAGCUAAAUUCACAAGUAGAUGUGACCCAGACAGAGUAUCACAUUCACCAUGGUGCCUGGACCACAGCUCAUCAGGAACAUGGCAGAAACUUAGCAGAAGAGGUUCUACAAGAAAGUGCCAGCAACCCUGGUCUGAAGCAACUGCCAGAACCCUCAGACACCCAUUUAAUGCCAGAAGGUUCUCUUGAGGAGACAGGGCAACUGACAGUAGCACUGGUGAGGAAACUGGAAGAGAAACAUCCUAAGGCUUCUGCUCAGAGUUCACUGGAAAAAAUUAGAGGAACUCAAGUUAUUUUCUUACUCUAUGGGGGAAAAGUUGUGAAUUGAGAAAUUGUGCUUCUAAACACUUAAAGGAGUUUGAUUGGCCAAUACAAGGACUGCUUGUUCCAAGCAGUCCUCCCAUGAAGAAACCCAUCUGUAAGACAACAGAGCCAUAUGCCCCUGUGCGACUCAGAGUUUUGCGGAAUGGAGACAAUAAUAAAAACAGAUCCGUUACUAUCCUUGGUCCAGAUAUCUCACCUGGACGGAAAACGCA